UCCAGGCUGCAAAUGACUCCUUUCUGUUUGG
RNAcentral lists this non-coding RNA (31 nucleotides) under Homo sapiens (human). Lineage: Eukaryota; Metazoa; Chordata; Mammalia; Primates; Hominidae. The record is from RNAcentral.